RNAcentral lists this non-coding RNA (23 nucleotides) under Arabidopsis thaliana (thale cress). Lineage: Eukaryota; Viridiplantae; Streptophyta; Magnoliopsida; Brassicales; Brassicaceae. The record is from RNAcentral.
GGAGUAAGAUGGUCUUUAUGGUC